GAAAAGGGUUUUGCCUGCUAAUGUUACAGGUAUCCGAUCCAUGCUAUAGAUUGCAUCAUUACAACUUACAAGACCCCCAGAUACACACUAGUAGUAUUCUUCCAACACACGCAAAUCCAAGUCCUUGGAUUGAAAUUUGGGUUAUCCCUGAUCAAAUUCCCUUAAUCGACAUUUUUUCCGCUGGGAAACUUUGCUUAUUCUUACUUAAUUCCUGGUAAGAAAACCUAUAUUCUUUUCACAUGCCUUUUCGUUUUCAAGGCCGUUGAUCUUGAUUUGUUGUGUUAUUUCAAUUUGGCGAGCCUAGAUCUGUAAGUAUCGUUGAUUGCCGGUGUUUCUGUUAUGUCGGAUUUGAUAGAAUUGAGGGCAUCUGUUAUUUAUCUUUGGUGACAUGAAAGAGGUGGGGAGAUCUGUCCAUUCGNNNN
Molecule: long non-coding RNA, 422 nt
Filed under: Lactuca sativa (garden lettuce)
Lineage: Eukaryota; Viridiplantae; Streptophyta; Magnoliopsida; Asterales; Asteraceae
Description: long non-coding RNA (LSAT_LNC005921)
Source: RNAcentral